AUUCAAAUAUCUUAUAUAGAGUAUAACACUGAAGCUGUUAUUGAAGUAAUUAAUUUACUUUUGAAUA
Molecule: transfer RNA, 67 nt
Filed under: Anaxarcha sp. WJ-2021
Lineage: Eukaryota; Metazoa; Arthropoda; Insecta; Mantodea; Hymenopodidae
Description: tRNA-Phe
Source: RNAcentral